CUUAAUGAACACAAUUCUCAACCCUAAGAAAUAUGGUUUUGAUGUAAUAAGGAGAGGAUGCUGUGGCACUGGGUGGUUAGAAAUGGGUUAUGGAUGCAACUCUGCAACACCAACCUGCGCAAACGCUUCAAAAUAUCUGUUUUGGGAUGCCAUACACCCCACACAAGCUGGUAACCAGAUUAUCACCAAUUCACUUGAAGAAACUGUACUUCCUCAACUCCCCAAUUAGAUUCUUAUUCAAUGGCCAUGAUUAAUAAAGAGACUCAAUAAACUGUUUAUUUCAUCUA
Long non-coding RNA from Macadamia integrifolia, 287 nucleotides. RefSeq lists it as uncharacterized. The transcript has 2 exons. The record is from RefSeq and is a predicted model, not a curated record. Lineage: Eukaryota; Viridiplantae; Streptophyta; Magnoliopsida; Proteales; Proteaceae.